CUGAGUUAGGGAGCAAUCCCGAACCUCCAACCCUUUGUGAACACAUCUUGUUGCUUCGGGGGCGACCCUGCCGUUUCGACGGCAUUCCCCCCGGAGGUCAUCAAAACACUGCAUUCUUACGUCGGAGUAUAAAGUUAAUUUAAUA
This 145-nucleotide unclassified non-coding RNA is filed under the name uncultured Mycosphaerella. The record is from RNAcentral. Lineage: Eukaryota; Fungi; Ascomycota; Dothideomycetes; Mycosphaerellales; Mycosphaerellaceae.